AGGGUUUGAUCAUGGCUCAGAACGAACGCUGGCGGCAUGCCUAACACAUGCAAGUCGAACGAGAAAGCACUUCGGUGUGAGUAGAGUGGCGCACGGGUGAGUAACACGUAGGUGACCUACCGUACAGUGGGGGAUAACCAGAAGAAAUUCUGGCUAAUACCGCAUACGCAGUACAAUUUUGAAAGUAGUACUGGAAAGGAUGCUUCGGCAUUCACUGAACGAUGGGCCUGCGUAGCAUUAGUUUGAUGGUGGGGUAACGGCCUACCAUGACUACGAUGCUUAGCUGGUCUGAGAGGAUGAUCAGCCACACUGGAACUGAGACACGGUCCAGACUCCUACGGGAGGCAGCAGUGGGGAAUAUUGCGCAAUGGGGGAAACCCUGACGCAGCAAUGCCGCGUGAGUGAGGAAGGGUUUCGGCUCGUAAAGCUCUGUCAGAAGGGAAUAAUGGUUAUUGGUCUAAUAGGCCUUUAAUUUGAAGGUACCUUCAAAGGAAGCACCGGCUAACUUCGUGCCAGCAGCCGCGGUAAUACGAAGGGUGCAAGCGUUGUUCGGAUUUAUUGGGCGUAAAGCGCGCGCAGGCGGACGGCUAAGUCAGAUGUGAAAUCUCGGGGCUCAACCCCGAAACUGCGUCUGAAACUGGUCGUCUAGAAUCUCGGAGAGGAAAGGGGAAUUUCGCAUGUAGGGGUAAAAUCCGUAGAGAUGCGAAGGAACACCAGAGGCGAAGGCGCCUUUCUGGACGAGUAUUGACGCUGAGGCGCGAAAGCGUGGGGAGCAAACAGGAUUAGAUACCCUGGUAGUCCACGCCGUAAACGAUGUGCACUAGGUUCGGGAGGUAUUGACCCCUUCCGUGCCGUAGCUAACGCAUUAAGUGCACCGCCUGGGGAGUACGGUCGCAAGACUAAAACUCAAAGGAAUUGAC
This 920-nucleotide ribosomal RNA is filed under the name uncultured delta proteobacterium. Its description in RNAcentral is "bacterial SSU rRNA". It matches the Rfam family "Bacterial small subunit ribosomal RNA", at positions 8 to 914 of the family's 1533-position model. Lineage: Bacteria; Deltaproteobacteria. The record is from RNAcentral.